This 771-nucleotide long non-coding RNA is filed under the name Drosophila guanche. The record is from RNAcentral. Lineage: Eukaryota; Metazoa; Arthropoda; Insecta; Diptera; Drosophilidae.
CGGUGUUUUGUCAAAUUUAACAUUUUUUCUUCAUCUGUCAUCUACAUCUACAACACUUCUCACACCAACACGCUCCGUUAGCUCGGCCCCCUUCCAUAGACCCACAUACUGCUGACUCGCGGCAGGGCCAGAGGCAGCGACCGCACAUAAAAAAAACGAAUAUAAGCUGCCCGUCCCGCAGCGCAGUGGGUUAAAAGUCGGCAGAGGCAGAGGCCGGGGGACGGCAGAGGCAGGGACCGAGUGAAGCAGAAUCAGAGUGUGAAUGAGAGUAUGUGCAAGAAACACAAAUAAGCUUCGGGACGGGGUGAGUUAGCCACUGGAAAUUAAUUUCUUCAUUGUGCCUAUAAUAAUGAUCCAAUCGGAUCCCAAUUUGGUGAUCAGAUAGAUAUGGCCAUUUUCUACGGAAUGGGGAUUUUAGUUUUCUUUUAUCUUUAAAAUUGUAGAUUUAGGAAGUUUUCGCCAAUUCACAUUAAACGUUGUGACGCGUAAGAAGCGUCUCACACGUCCUUUAUCGUUUUUUUUGUGUGCGGGCACUGCCUCUGCCGCGAGUCUGCAGUGUGUGGGUCUAGGGAGGGGCGGCGAACAAACGGAGCGUGUUGGUGUGAGAAGUGUUGUAGAUGUAGAUGACAGAUGAAAAAAAAUUUACAAUUUGACAGGUGCCGGGUAUAAAAGUUGUGACGCGUAAGAAGCGUCUUACACGUCCCUUCUCGUGUCUUCCUAUUUUCACUCCAAGAACAAUUGCCGAAUAAAACGAAUGCAGUUCAAGAGGGC